CCGGUAACGGGUGGAGCUGACUGGUACUAAUAGGCCGAGGGCUUGUCCUCAGUUG
RNAcentral lists this ribosomal RNA (55 nucleotides) under Streptomyces sp. SID8364. Its description in RNAcentral is "partial 23S ribosomal RNA". Lineage: Bacteria; Bacillati; Actinomycetota; Actinomycetes; Kitasatosporales; Streptomycetaceae. The record is from RNAcentral.